RNAcentral lists this ribosomal RNA (910 nucleotides) under Microsphaeropsis olivacea. RNAcentral's name for it is "LSU rRNA". It matches the Rfam family "Eukaryotic large subunit ribosomal RNA", at positions 34 to 963 of the family's 3401-position model. Lineage: Eukaryota; Fungi; Ascomycota; Dothideomycetes; Pleosporales; Didymellaceae. The record is from RNAcentral.
UUAAGCAUAUCAAUAAGCGGAGGAAAAGAAACCAACAGGGAUUGCCCUAGUAACGGCGAGUGAAGCGGCAACAGCUCAAAUUUGAAAUCUGGCGUCUUUGGCGUCCGAGUUGUAAUUUGCAGAGGGCGCUUUGGCAUUGGCAGCGGUCCAAGUUCCUUGGAACAGGACGUCACAGAGGGUGAGAAUCCCGUACGUGGUCGCUAGCCUUUACCGUGUAAAGCCCCUUCGACGAGUCGAGUUGUUUGGGAAUGCAGCUCUAAAUGGGAGGUAAAUUUCUUCUAAAGCUAAAUACUGGCCAGAGACCGAUAGCGCACAAGUAGAGUGAUCGAAAGAUGAAAAGCACUUUGGAAAGAGAGUUAAAAAGCACGUGAAAUUGUUGAAAGGGAAGCGCUUGCAGCCAGACUUGCCUGUAGUUGCUCAUCCGGGUUUUUACCCGGUGCACUCUUCUAUAGGCAGGCCAGCAUCAGUUUGGGCGGUUGGAUAAAGGUCUCUGUCAUGUACCUCUCUUCGGGGAGAACUUAUAGGGGAGACGACAUGCAACCAGCCUGGACUGAGGUCCGCGCAUCUGCUAGGAUGCUGGCGUAAUGGCUGUAAGCGGCCCGUCUUGAAACACGGACCAAGGAGUCUAACAUCUAUGCGAGUGUUUGGGUGUCAAGCCCGAGCGCGUAAUGAAAGUGAACGGAGGUGGGAACCUUUCGGGGUGCACCAUCGACCGAUCCUGAUGUCUUCGGAUGGAUUUGAGUAAGAGCAUAGCUGUUGGGACCCGAAAGAUGGUGAACUAUGCUUGAAUAGGGUGAAGCCAGAGGAAACUCUGGUGGAGGCUCGCAGCGGUUCUGACGUGCAAAUCGAUCGUCAAAUUUGGGCAUAGGGGCGAAAGACUAAUCAAACUAUUUAGGAAUUGGUCCUGCAA